AAUAGUCUUCAGGGCAGGGUGUAAGUCCCUACCGGUGGUAAAGCCCACGAGCUGCAAAGCAGAUUCGGUUAAAUUCCGAAGCCGACAGUUAAAGUCUGGAUGAAAGAAGACAGCG
Regulatory RNA element from Carnobacterium iners, 115 nucleotides. It matches the Rfam family "FMN riboswitch aptamer (RFN element)". From Rfam's summary of the family: The RFN element is a highly conserved domain that is found frequently in the 5'-untranslated regions of prokaryotic mRNAs that encode for flavin mononucleotide (FMN) biosynthesis and transport proteins. This element is a metabolite-dependent riboswitch that directly binds FMN in the absence of proteins. NCBI's taxonomy places the organism in Bacteria, Bacillati, Bacillota, Bacilli, Lactobacillales, Carnobacteriaceae. The record is from Rfam.